AUGAAUGGUUUAACAGAGAUGUCCAGGUCAUCACUUGCCCCUUCUACCCUGGUGCCCUACCCUGUUCAGUUUCCGGCUGCCUUGAACUAUGCCCCUUAUUCCACCAUCUGCUUCCACUAUGAUGUUUUCUUUUUCUUUUUGUUGCAGGUUCUUUGCAAAGCGAUUGUGAAGAGGACUGGAAGCACACGGGGCACAAAGAAUCAAGGACCAAGGAAGCGAGGGAAGCGCCUCCCUGUACCACCAGUGCUUUACAAAAUACCAACAAGCAGAACGUAG
RNAcentral lists this long non-coding RNA (276 nucleotides) under Cavia porcellus (domestic guinea pig). RNAcentral describes it as "lncRNA (ENSCPOG00000037911.1)". The record is from RNAcentral. Lineage: Eukaryota; Metazoa; Chordata; Mammalia; Rodentia; Caviidae.